Molecule: ribosomal RNA, 360 nt
Filed under: Escherichia coli
Lineage: Bacteria; Pseudomonadati; Pseudomonadota; Gammaproteobacteria; Enterobacterales; Enterobacteriaceae
Description: bacterial SSU rRNA
Rfam family: Bacterial small subunit ribosomal RNA
Source: RNAcentral
UUAAAUUGAAGAGUUUGAUCAUGGCUCAGAUUGAACGCUGGCGGCAGGCCUAACACAUGCAAGUCGAACGGUAACAGGAAGCAGCUUGCUGCUUUGCUGACGAGUGGCGGACGGGUGAGUAAUGUCUGGGAAACUGCCUGAUGGAGGGGGAUAACUACUGGAAACGGUAGCUAAUACCGCAUAACGUCGCAAGACCAAAGAGGGGGACCUUCGGGCCUCUUGCCAUCGGAUGUGCCCAGAUGGGAUUAGCUAGUAGGUGGGGUAAAGGCUCACCUAGGCGACGAUCCCUAGCUGGUCUGAGAGGAUGACCAGCCACACUGGAACUGAGACACGGUCCAGACUCCUACGGGAGGCAGCAGU